RNAcentral lists this transfer RNA (72 nucleotides) under Camelus bactrianus (Bactrian camel). It matches the Rfam family "tRNA". From Rfam's summary of the family: Transfer RNA (tRNA) molecules are approximately 80 nucleotides in length. Their secondary structure includes four short double-helical elements and three loops (D, anti-codon, and T loops). The record is from Rfam by way of RNAcentral. RNAcentral also lists the same sequence under 2 other names. Lineage: Eukaryota; Metazoa; Chordata; Mammalia; Artiodactyla; Camelidae.
GUGGGUAUGACUCAGCGGUAGAGCGCAUGCUUAGCAUGCACGAGGUCCUGGGUUCAGUCCCCAGUUCCUCCA